GCGUUAUUCUUAUCAUAAAAUUCUUAUCUCAUUACAUAAAAAGAAUUUAACGCGCAUUUUAACCCUUCAGUAAUUAUAUUCUUCGAUAUGUUAAAAGAACGUAAACAACACAAAAGCACUUGAUAUCGAUUGAAUUUAACACUUUCAUCAACCGUCCUCUCCAAAUAUGGAAUUUUCGAAAAGGUAAUUAAAUUUUCAAACUAAUUUAUCC
Molecule: long non-coding RNA, 211 nt
Organism: Centruroides sculpturatus (bark scorpion)
Lineage: Eukaryota; Metazoa; Arthropoda; Arachnida; Scorpiones; Buthidae
Exons: 3
Source: RefSeq, a predicted model, not a curated record